GACGAACGCUGGCGGCGUGCUUAACACAUGCAAGUCGAACGGUAAGGCCCUUCGGGGUACACGAGUGGCGAACGGGUGAGUAACACGUGGGUGAUCUGCCCUGCACUUCGGGAUAAGCCUGGGAAACUGGGUCUAAUACCGGAUAGGACCACUGCCUGCAUGGGCGGUGGUGGACAGCUUGUGCGGUGUGGGAUGGGGCCGCGGCCUAUCAGCUUGUUGGUGGGGUGGGGGCCUACCAAGGCGACGAGGGGUAGCCGGCCUGAGAGGGUGACCGGCCACACGGGGACUGGGGUACGGCCCAGACUCCUACGGGAGGCAGCAGGGGGGAAUAGUGCACAAUGGGCGGAAGCCUGAUGCGGCGGCGCCGCGUGGGGGAUGACGGCGUUCGGGUUGUAGACCUCUUUCAGCACCGACGAAGCGCAAGUGGGGGUAGGUGCAGAAGAAGGACGGGCCAACUACGUGCCAGCAGCCGCCGUAA
This 478-nucleotide ribosomal RNA is filed under the name uncultured bacterium. Its description in RNAcentral is "partial 16S ribosomal RNA". It matches the Rfam family "Bacterial small subunit ribosomal RNA", at positions 28 to 523 of the family's 1533-position model. The record is from RNAcentral.